AAUGGGGGGAACCCUGAUCCAGCCAUGCCGCGUGUGUGAAGAAGGUCUUAGGAUUGUAAAGCACUUUAAGUUGGGAGGAAGAGCAGUUAACUAAUAUUUGACUGUUUUGACGUUACCGACAGAAUAAGCACCGGCUAACUUCGUGCCAGCAGCCGCGGUAAUACGAAGGGUGCAAGCGUUAAUCGGAAUUACUGGGCGUAAAGCGCGCGUAGGUGGUUCAGUAAGUUAGGAGUGAAAGCCCCGGGCUUAACCUGGGAAUUGCUUCUAAAACUGCUGAGCUAGAGUACGGUAGAGGGUGGUGGAAUUUCCUGUGUAGCGGUGAAAUGCGUAGAUAUAGGAAGGAACAUCAGUGGCGAAGGCGACCACCUGGACUGAUACUGACACUGAGGUGCGAAAGCGUGGGGAGCAAA
RNAcentral lists this ribosomal RNA (410 nucleotides) under uncultured bacterium. Its description in RNAcentral is "bacterial SSU rRNA". It matches the Rfam family "Bacterial small subunit ribosomal RNA", at positions 370 to 772 of the family's 1533-position model. The record is from RNAcentral.